RNAcentral lists this ribosomal RNA (403 nucleotides) under uncultured bacterium. RNAcentral describes it as "partial 16S ribosomal RNA". It matches the Rfam family "Bacterial small subunit ribosomal RNA", at positions 28 to 526 of the family's 1533-position model. The record is from RNAcentral.
GACGAACGCUGGCGGCAGGCCUAACACAUGCAAGUCGAGCGAGCGGCGGACGGGUGAGUAAUGUAUGGGGACUGCCCGAUAGAGGGGGAUAACUACUGGAAACGGUGGCUCAUACCGCAUCCUGUCGGAUUACCCAGAUGGGAUUAGCUAGUAGGUAAGGUAAUGGCUUACCUAGGCGACGAUCCCUAGCUGGUCUGAGAGGAUGAUCAGCCACACUGGGACUGAGACACGGCCCAGACUCCUACGGAGGCAGCAGUGGGGAAUAUUGCACAAUGGGCGCAAGCCUGAUGCAGCCAUGCCGCGUGUAUGAAGAAGGCCCUAGGAUUGUAAAGUACUUUCAGUCGGGAGGCGUUACCGACAGAAGAAGCACCGGCUAACUCCGUGCCAGCAGCCGCGGUAAUUC